AGAGAAAGGCCCUAAUUAGGGGAAGCUCACAUGUGUGGGAACAGGAAGUCUUCUAUAAAGCCUGGGAGUGGAGCAUAGAAGAGAAAGCUGUGGGGAAGUACUUUGCAGUCACUUUCUAGGAGAAGGGUGGUGUGUUUGGGAUUAUAGACGCAAGCAGCCUAUAGUUACUGUGUGAAAGGAGGAAGUUUUGUGGUUGGUUAACUCAGAGAAUUAGAAGGUAAAGAAAGCCUCAGGGAAAAGUCAGUAAGGUAUGGGAUGGAACAGAUCUUGGUUGCUGACUAGAGGGUCCCUCAGCUGGAACCUGGAAUAGAGGGUGGGCCUGGGUUCCUCUAGUCUCCCAGCUACUGGGGAAGUGCCCCUAUAGGGACAGUGAAUGGAAUGGCUGCUUAAGACUGUUAGUAAGAAAAGACUUUGAUACCACAGAAGGGGGAAACAUGCAUAGUGACCUGACUGGAGGGCCAAAUCACAAUGAGGGAGCACACUAUUUUACUUUCCACAUAAAAUCAAAGGAAAAUCAAGAUCACUGGCAGUUAUGUUUGAUUAGAAACUUAUGAAAGAAGUAAGACCAGUAAAGCAGUGUGGAUACAGUGAAGCCUGAAUUCUGACUGUGGUCUUUGGAUGCUACUACUACACCAAUGUCAAAUAAUGGAAAACCAGGAAGCGAUACAGCAUCCUAUUCUAGUCUUGAGGAAGUUUUCCAGCCAUUCUUGACUGUAAUGAGGAGGAUGAGCCAAGAUCACAUGAAGAAGCAAUAUGCAAACUAUAUGGGGCUCCUAUUGUGGAAGCACUGCAAACUUAUUUAGCCAAGCAUGAUUCUGAAGCCUUUAAGGGGAGGACUUUAAUUUUUUUUCUUGGUUUAAGAAUUGGCAAAGCGACCUAAUUAUUAAAUUGCAUGCAAACAACUUCUGUGUUUUUAUAUUUACUAAGAGUUACAUGAAUGAUUAUGCAAAACAAAUCUGUCAUUAGUUGCUCUCUAUUUGCAUUUUGCCUGUUAAUAUGCUGCUGUUCAUACUAUGGCAGGGUAUAAUGAGCAAUUCUACUUCUGAAAUAAAAAUUCUAUAUGUGAAAUUACA
Long non-coding RNA from Chelonia mydas (Green sea turtle), 1073 nucleotides. RefSeq lists it as uncharacterized. NCBI's taxonomy places the organism in Eukaryota, Metazoa, Chordata, Testudines, Cheloniidae. The transcript has 4 exons. The record is from RefSeq and is a predicted model, not a curated record.